UAACAGGAUUAGAUACCCUGGUAGUCCACGCCGUAAACGAUGUCGACUUGGAGGUUGUGCCCUUGAGGCGUGGCUUCCGGAGCUAACGCGUUAAGUCGACCGCCUGGGGAGUACGGCCGCAAGGUUAAAACUCAAAUGAAUUGACGGGGGCCCGCACAAGCGGUGGAGCAUGUGGUUUAAUUCGAUGCAACGCGAAGAACCUUACCUGGUCUUGACAUCCACAGAACUUUCCAGAGAUGGAUUGGUGCCUUCGGGAACUGUGAGACAGGUGCUGCAUGGCUGUCGUCAGCUCGUGUUGUGAAAUGUUGGGUUAAGUCCCGCAACGAGCGCAACCCUUAUCCUUUGUUGCCAGCGGUUAGGCCGGGAACUCAAAGGAGACUGCCAGUGAUAAACUGGAGGAAGGUGGGGAUGACGUCAAGUCAUCAUGGCCCUUACGACCAGGGCUACACACGUGCUACAAUGGCGCAUACAAAGAGAAGCAAUCUCGCGAGAGCUAGCGGACCUCAUAAAGUGCGUCGUAGUCCGGAUUGGAGUCUGCAACUCGACUCCAUGAAGUCGGAAUCGCUAGUAAUCGUGAAUCAGAAUGUCACGGUGAAUACGUUCCCGGGCCUUGUACACACCGCCCGUCACACCAUGGGAGUGGGUUGCAAAAGAAGUAGGUAGCUUAACCUUCGGGAGGGCGCUUACCACUUUGUGAUUCAUGACUGGGGUGAAGUCGUAACAAGGUAACCAA
RNAcentral lists this ribosomal RNA (733 nucleotides) under uncultured endophytic bacterium. Its description in RNAcentral is "bacterial SSU rRNA". It matches the Rfam family "Bacterial small subunit ribosomal RNA", at positions 770 to 1503 of the family's 1533-position model. The record is from RNAcentral.